RNAcentral lists this ribosomal RNA (253 nucleotides) under uncultured bacterium. RNAcentral describes it as "partial 16S ribosomal RNA". It matches the Rfam family "Bacterial small subunit ribosomal RNA", at positions 524 to 776 of the family's 1533-position model. The record is from RNAcentral.
UACGUAGGGGGCUAGCGUUGUCCGGAAUCAUUGGGCGUAAAGAGCGUGUAGGCGGCUUGGUAAGUCCGCUGUGAAAGUCCAGGGCUCAACCCUGGAAAGCCAGUGGAUACUGUCAAGCUAGAGUCCGGAAGAGGCGAGUGGAAUUCCUGGUGUAGCGGUGAAAUGCGCAGAUAUCAGGAGGAACACCAAUGGCGAAGGCAGCUCGCUGGGACGGUACUGACGCUGAGACGCGAAAGCGUGGGGAGCGAACAGG